Molecule: RNA transcript, 4306 nt
Organism: Mirounga angustirostris (Northern elephant seal)
Lineage: Eukaryota; Metazoa; Chordata; Mammalia; Carnivora; Phocidae
Gene: MRAS
Gene name: muscle RAS oncogene homolog
Exons: 8
Source: RefSeq, a predicted model, not a curated record
AGGAGGCGCCGGGGCGGGGACGGGUCGGAGCGGCCAGAGGGCCGGCGGGCCGGGAGCCGCCAGUCCGGCUGCAGCGGGGCCGGCCGGGCGCGGCGCUGCCUCCUCGGCCGCGCGAGCGUGAAGGAGGCGGCCUGAGGGCCGGAGCCGAGCCGGGGCUGGAGCGCGGGGUCUGACCUACCAUAAACAUGGCAACCAGUGCCGUCCCCAGUGACAACCUCCCCACGUACAAGCUGGUGGUGGUGGGAGAUGGGGGUGUGGGCAAGAGUGCCCUCACCAUCCAGUUUUUCCAGAAGAUUUUUGUGCCUGACUACGACCCCACCAUCGAAGACUCCUACCUGAAACACACAGAGAUUGACAAUCAAUGGGCCAUCCUGGACGUUCUGGACACAGCCGGGCAGGAGGAGUUCAGCGCCAUGCGGGAGCAGUAUAUGCGCACGGGGGACGGCUUCCUCAUCGUCUACUCAGUCACGGACAAGGCCAGCUUCGAGCACGUGGACCGCUUCCACCAGCUCAUCCUGCGCGUCAAGGACAGAGAGUCCUUUCCGAUGAUCCUCGUGGCCAACAAGGUCGAUCUGAUGCAUUUGAGGAAAAUCACCAGGGAGCAAGGAAAAGAAAUGGCGACCAAACACAAUAAUCAUCGGACCAGCGGCAGUUCACCGAGCCCUGUUCUAUGCCAGGCCUUGUGCUGGGGAACGAUCACUCCUUACCACCACAUGCUGAGCCCGAGACUUGGGGUGGACACGGCCCUCAACACCUGUCCUCUGGGGGGCCACCUGAGCCAUAUCUGCCGAUUCCGUACAUAGAAACCAGUGCCAAGGACCCACCUCUCAACGUCGACAAAGCCUUCCAUGACCUGGUUAGGGUAAUUAGGUGAGCAUUGCACGCUCCCCCAGAAGCAAGCCCUCUGCAGCAAGGCAACAGAUUCCAGAAAAGAGCCAGAAGAAGAAGAAGAAAACCAAAUGGCGGGGCGACCGGGCCACCGGCACCCACAAACUGCAGUGCGUGAUAUUGUGACGGGCCUGAGGCCCUGGCCACGGUGACCGCGAACUGGCUGGCCCUCGGGGCCCUCCACUGCCUAACCGCGCUGAAAACCAUUUCUAACCACGACCCUCGGCCCAAGGACCUGGCUCAGGAAGGAAGGAAGGGAGGAUGGGCAGGGAGGAGCGAGGCUCCGGCUUUGCCACAAGGGCACAGGCUUUCCCAUGUCUCGAGAGAGACAGGGAAGCAACGCUAAACAGAAGCAGCAUCCAAGCCCCUCACGUUGACUCAACCCGGUUCCUCCCCAUCUCUCUCGGUGGCUGUGUUGUUUCUUUGAAGUACACAGUAUUAGUGUGAUGUGGAAGUGUGUGUCCACAGACAGAGUACCGAACAAGCCAUGAUCCACCCCCCACGCCCUUGCCCCCAGCCCAGAGUGUCUGAGCCUGGGGGGCUUUUGUAGAUUUUUAAAUUAUUUUAGUGAUUAUUAUUUUAUUAAGGGGGUCUGUGCCCACGGACUGGCGGAGCUUCAGGGCUUCAGCAGGCCUCUCUGAGAACAUGUCUGGAAUACUGUUGUUGUUGUUGUUGUUUGUGACUGAGUUUCCCCAGCGGUGCCAAAACUCAGCUCAACAUGCAAGUGGAGGGACCGAGAGCGCAGACGUGAAUGAGGACGGUGGCCGGAGGCCGCGGGAGGAACAGCCCCCUCCCAGCCUCCAGACCAGACAGAAGAGAGAUGCCCUCACCCAGAAGGUUUUACUGUGCCCGAGGGUGCAGGUGUUAGGAAACGGAGUUUUAUUUUGCUGAGCGGAGAGGCUGGGGCGAGCAUGUCUGUUUUCAGAAGGGUUUUCAUGAUCCUGGACAUGCAUGAGUUAGGUCAGCUGACUGGCUUUGCAAAAGCGUCCGUUCACUUGGCCGACAGUGCAGAUUGAGUUCUGUGCUCUCAGGGCUCUGCCGGAUCUGUCUCUUCCUGCUUUCCCACCGUCUGUGCUGCCUCGCGCCUCUUGGACACAAACACGCGGACGUGGGCAUGUAUGUCUCAGCUCGGCCCAGUAAGCUAAUGUGGACGCCAUCCAGAAAGCUCUAGUUCAUGCUGAAUCUUAACCAAAAACCAUCCAAUACUGUCGUUACUAAGACAGCACCAAGACCUGAAGCCAUUUUCCCUUUGAGUCCACUGACUACCACUUCUUAAAGCCCAGUAAAUAAGCAGACCCCGCUAAGCAUUUGCAAACUUAGGAUUCGCUUGCCUUUCUGGCACACACUUUUCUUAGCCUCUUGGAUCUUAACCAUAACAUAUAAUUAAAGGAAAAAGAAAGGUUGGGGUGAUGACAUGGCCCCCAUACCUGUUCCUAUAAGGGGACACUCCCCCAACUUCCUGAAGAUGUCACUUCCUUCUCAGGUGCUGCUGGUGGGAUCCAGAGACUGGCUUUUCCCCAGCCAGGGAGGGUGGACCACAGCGGGUGGACCCCAGGGAGGGCAGCCACGACCACAGUGCCUACCCCUCCAGCAGAAGGUCAGAAGACGAGCUCGUGACCUCAUUUUCCACUGACAAAUCAGAUCACUAGGCAAACCAGAGCAUCCCUAGCAGGUGGCCUGGCUACUCUUUAGAGACAGAAACCCUGAGAAAGUGAACACCCCACGGGACCUGGAGACACCUGGCAUCUUCUCUGGUUUUGAAAGCGUGCUGCGUUCCUAACUCAGCAAGAUCACCAGCACCAGGGGGCCCAGCCGAAGAGCGAUUCUGUGUCGAAUGAAAUCAUUGGGACUUCAGUUAAUUGGAAAAUCAAACUUCUUUAUUUGUCUCAAUGGCCUUUUUUUCCCUGACCCUGAAAGGAAAGAUAACAAAGAUCAGGCACUUCAGAGUGUCCCAAGGUCCUAUAAUGUUAAUGGGCGUUUUAAACACUAACAGGACAAGGCUCUUUCGGACACUUCUGCUCCUCUGAGCCGAGUCUACUGCAGCCCCGUGUGCAAAGGAGAGGAGGAGGCAGUAGCAAGACAAGCAGGAAGAAGUACGGAGGGAGAGGCUUUGCAGCGAAGGAGUGGUGGGGUGGGAAGGGAAGCCGAGCACCCAGGGCAGCGGCCACUGCUGGAAAGCUGCUACUGGGCACGGACCAGCACCAGCACACCCCGGCCCCCUGCCCUCUGCAGAGCCCACAACUCCUUGGCAGCCCUGAGUGGGGAGUCCUGUUGGAGGCAGAUAAGCUGACCUAGAAUGAAGCCCUUAGCCAUAAAGGUAACCAGACACACGGGUUCCAUCUGCUUCUGGCCCCUCCCCCAACACGGGCAGUGCUUCUGCCCACCCCGGCCGCAUCUUCCAGGGCACAGUCCUGCAGUCAGCCCGCACCUCAGCUCCACAGUGCUCGAGGGACAAACUGGUUAAGGAAAGGCCGGCUGCUGCUGAGUCAGGGGUCAGGCUUCAUCUUCCAUGACCUUGUGUUCCCCAGAGGUGAGACAGAUGGAUAACAUUUUUCAAAGACAGUUCUUUGUGUUUUAGGGAACUGUGGGCCCUUGUAGCAGUGGGGGCUUCCAGAUAGGCCAGAAUGGAGUGGACCCUGGGGCAUCCCAGUACAGUAGCUUCUCCAUGGCCACGUGGCAGGGUCAGUUGGAACACCAGUUGGCCACACUACUCCAUGACUGAGGAGUCCAAUGGCACUUGUGUCUUUGGUGACAUUUUGGUGUUUCCACUGGUUUUCCAGACCACCUGAAUAGUGCUACCUUCACAUUCCCUGGAACACACCCUUCCUGAAAUCCCCUCACCCCAUGCCUUUGCCACUAUGUGCUCUCAAAUUUUCUCCCAAAAUUUUGACACCCCCCCAAUUAGAGGGCUACUUUUCUACCCAACAGGCAAUCUUAGCCAUCUUCCCCACCCCUCCAGCUGGGGGCUCUGGCCACUGACUUCUCCUAUACUUGGCCACACGGGGCACUUGGAUGGUUUCUCUUAGGACUUUGACCCCACCUUGUGUUGUUUGCUGUGGAGAGUGCCUGGUGGCCUAGUGUGGCCAAUCUCACUUUCCUAGGAGACAUGACCCACUAACACAUGGCAGCUCUGACCCAAAGGCCCCUGAGACGUGUGACGGUAAAUCUGGAACCACAGACAGAUUCCCUCCAUUAAUCAGCCCAUUGGGUUAGAAACUCCACGUUGGGUUUACAUAGAAUGAAAGAUACUUGAAUUGUUGAGCGCCCGUGAGCGCACAGCUUCUGCUAUCCAGUAUUAACAGAUGGCCGUUGUGAAACGGGAGUGAUGCCUGAGGGUCUCGAUGAUGCUUGAGCCUUUUAUGUAACUUUUUAUUAAGUCUUUGUGUAUCUCAACUCAUUAAUAAAGAAAAGAAGAACA